Molecule: ribosomal RNA, 253 nt
Filed under: uncultured bacterium
Lineage: Bacteria
Description: partial 16S ribosomal RNA
Rfam family: Bacterial small subunit ribosomal RNA
Source: RNAcentral
UACGGGGGGGGCAAGCGUUGUUCGGAAUUACUGGGCGUAAAGGGCUCGUAGGCGGCCAACUAAGUCGGACGUGAAAUCCCCAGGCUCAACCUGGGAACUGCGUCCGAUACUGGAUGGCUUGAAUCCGGGAGAGGGAUGCAGAACUCCAGGUGUAGCGGUGAAAUGCGUAGAUAUCUGGAGGAAUACCGGUGGCGAAGGCGGGUCUCUGGGCCGUAACUGACGCUGAGGAGCGAAAGCAUGGGGAGCGAACAGG